Tachysurus fulvidraco (yellow catfish) is the source of this 2779-nucleotide long non-coding RNA. RefSeq lists it as uncharacterized. The record is from RefSeq and is a predicted model, not a curated record. The transcript has 4 exons. NCBI's taxonomy places the organism in Eukaryota, Metazoa, Chordata, Actinopteri, Siluriformes, Bagridae.
UGUCUCCCAGAACAGAAGACUGGACCCACGAACUGACAACAUGUCAACAACAACGGCAGAUCCCAUUCAGGAAAUGGUGGACACACUACGUCAAGCACUUCUCCACACUCAAACAACACCAGUCACAGCAGUGUCAACUGCUACCGUGGUCGCAGCUCCCAUGGCAAACCCAGCGUCCUAUUCUGAUCGAGGCAAGAUCAUGUUUAUCAUCUCUCUACUUACAGGAACGGCAUUACGGUGGGCAGAAUCCAUUUGGCAAUUGUUUCACCACUCCAUCAAGGAAUUCAUGAAUUACUUCCAAAAGCCAGAUCCACCCUCUCCAGAGCCAGAAUCCAUGCAGAUCGACACCCCACUGUUGCACCCCACUAUUGCAUCCCACUGUCGGAACAUCCGCAAUGGCUGACCCAAGGGCUGUGUCUAUACUGUGCUGCAGCUGGACAUGCUAUUGGAGAGUGUCCCGUCUGUCCUCCACAAGCUUUUUCACAGCCCUCCUCGACUCUGGGUCAGCCGGAAAAUUCAUCUCCUCACAAUUAUGCUCUGACCUUAAGACCAAAGGGAAUGGAUCCCUCAAAAACUCAAGUCCAGUCCAUAACUGGCAAACCCCUCAAUCGAUCCUCCAUCAACUCCAGGACAUGUGAGCUCAUUCUGACUGUGGGAAUCCUACACCAGGAAACUAUCAGAUUUCUGGUUUUGGAGAAUUCAAAUGCGGAUGUCAUCCUUGGCCGACCGUGGUUAGUGCAACCUCAUCCGGAGCUCUCUUGGGAUACUGGUGAGUUGAGAAGAUGGAGUGAUCAUUGUUUUCCGUCAUGUUUUGCACAAUUACCCACUCCUUGCCAUCAUCAUUCUUCACCCAUACCAGUAUGUUCCACCUCCAUCGAAAGAAAGACGGCAGAUAUUUCAAUAUAUAUACCUGAAGAUUACACAGAGUUUCAGGAUGUGUUUUAUCCCAAAAGAGCCUCCAAACUACCACCUCAUCGGCCAUGGGACUGCGCGAUUGACCUCCUUCCACCCCUCGACCUCCCCUGCUGCAUCACCCUUUUUCUUCGUUGCCAAGAAAGAUGGCGGUCUCCGACCCUGUAUCAAUUACCGGACACUCAACAAGAUUACAUCUAAAUUCCGUUAUCCCCUUCCUCUCAUCCCAGCAGCUCGAUCUCAGAAGUGCCAACAAUCUCAUCUGAAUUCACAGUGGAGAUGAGUGGAAGACUGCCUUUGUGACCCCACAGGCUACUUUGAAUAUUUGGUUUCCGAGACAUCCUUAAUAAAUACGUCUUGAUCUACAUCGAUGAUAUAAUCAUCUAUUCCAAGGAUCCAUCUUACCAUACCCGGCAUGUGAAGGAAGUUCUCAAACGUCUCCGUCAGCAUAACCUGUAUUUGAAGGCUGAAAAAUGUGAAUUCCACCAAUCAUCUAUUCAGUUUCUGUGUUACAAUGUAUCUCAGGAUAGAGUGAGGAUGAGAGGAAGGUGGAAACCAUAACAUCCUGGCCAACCCCUCUCACUGUGAAAAACCUGCAAAGAUUCUUAGGAUUUGCUAACUUCUAUUUGCUAUUCUAUGACAUUCGCCAUUUCAGUAAUGUGGUUCAACCACUUACAGUACCACCCUUCUAGGAGGAAAACCCAAAACUCUGUCAUGGACCCUGGAGGCAGACCAAUCAUUCCAGAACCUGAAAGCUGCCUUCUGUUCUGCACCCAUCUUCAUUCAUCCCAAUACAAACAAACCCUUCAUCGUGGAAUUAGUUGCUUCAUUUUCAGGUGUCAAAGCAGCAGGGGAAUCAUCCACUGCUUCAUCCAUGUGCCUUCUACUCCCAUAAAUUCAGCCCGGCAGAAGUCAACUACGACAUUGGAAAUCAUGAGUUACUUGCAAUCAAGUUAGCUCUUGAGGAAUGGAGACAUUGGUUUGAAGGUGCAAGACAUCAUGUUAUAAUAAACAUCUCCCUCAUUUUUUUUCUGAUUAAAACGUAGUUCUGUUCCACAGACCCUUCUGCCAUUUGAGUAGAAAAGCCCCAAAAGCUACUCUCCUGUAACUUUUGUAUUAUUACUAAAAUUAUUAAAUUUAUUUAUUACAAAUCCCCCUGCUUUCAUACCCUGAAAUUAAAUAAUUAAAUAAAUUUCUGGUCUUUGAGAAGUGGGUCUGGCCGUGGUGUGUCAGGGGUUAUGCUCGGCCCUUCUGCUCUGCUGCGGACGUAGCCUCGGCCCUUAAGCUAGGCUGUGGACAUCGCUCGGCCCUCUCUGGCUGCGCCGCCGUGUGCCCUGCUCCCCCCCGCCUGCAUGACCGUGUGGCUUGGUUCCCCCCGCCUGCCUCACCAUGUGCCUUGCUCCACUCACUGGCCUCGCCGUGUCCCUUGCUCCCCUCACUGGCCUUGCCGUGUUCCUUGCUCCCCCCAGCUGCCUUCGCCAUGUUCCUUGCUCCCCCCAUGUGUCUCACCCCCCCCUCCUGGACCUCAUCGAGAUUAAGACGAAAUUGGCGCUUCUGGAGCCACGCUUCAAAUGUGUGUGUGCUACUGUCAGGAAUCAGCCCAGACUUUUUGCCAUGUGCUAUUGUUAUUGUUGUUGUUAUGUGUCUGCUCUGCCUUCGUUCACUCCUCCCUGUCUCCACACCUUUUCCUAAUUGUCAAUCAUUGUUAUGUGUAUUUAAGUGAGUCGCGUUGCCGAUGGCAGCACAGAAUCAUUAGUUAAUGUUAAGUGUCGUCUCUGUUACCAUUUUAUUUCCUCGUCCUUUGUAUUGUUUAGUUAUUGAUUGUUUUUUACUGUUUUGUCUUUAUCAUUUAUUAAACCCCAUUGAU